RNAcentral lists this non-coding RNA (140 nucleotides) under Loxodonta africana (African savanna elephant). Its description in RNAcentral is "Eukaryotic large subunit ribosomal RNA". It matches the Rfam family "Eukaryotic large subunit ribosomal RNA", at positions 2825 to 2964 of the family's 3401-position model. The record is from Rfam by way of RNAcentral. Lineage: Eukaryota; Metazoa; Chordata; Mammalia; Proboscidea; Elephantidae.
GAUAACUGGCUUGUGGUGGCUGAGCAUUCACGGCCACGUCGCUUUUUGGUCCUUCGAUGUCAGCUCUUCCUAUCAUUGUGAAGCAGAAUUCACCAAGUGGUGGAACGCCCACCCACUAGUAGGGAACAUGAGACAGGUGA